GGCACGGUAGCCAAGCGGUAAGGCCGGAGCCUGCAAAGCUUCUAUACGUCGGUUCGAUUCCGACCCGUGCCUCCA
Molecule: transfer RNA, 75 nt
Filed under: Opitutales bacterium
Lineage: Bacteria; Pseudomonadati; Verrucomicrobiota; Opitutia; Opitutales
Also listed under: 1 other name
Description: tRNA-Cys
Rfam family: tRNA
About the family: Transfer RNA (tRNA) molecules are approximately 80 nucleotides in length. Their secondary structure includes four short double-helical elements and three loops (D, anti-codon, and T loops).
Source: RNAcentral